AACUGGUCAUACUCAUACCACGUUACGAAAGACUGCCUUGCCAAGCGAAAGUGAGCUCUGAUCAAGAACAAAAGCGAAGUCGGGAAGCCGGAAGCAAAUCCGCGCUCUGGUUCGAUCCCAUCCCGUUUCCUAGUUGCAUUCCUAAACCGUACCCGCUGGCGGAGUUCUCGCAAGAAAUGCUGGAGGACUCCGGUUACUGGAGAGGUCUUGUGUCUACGGCUGUUUCGUCUGGAGCUGGGGAUCGGAUUCCAGUUCAUGUUGCUGUAGGACGGCACAGAUCGUUCGCUGGGAAGAAUGGCGAGAGUGGAACUGGAGCUCAUGAUGCCGGGGUUCAUGUGGUUCGUCCUGACUUUCGGUCGCUUCUCUAGGGUUCUCUCCAACAUGGAAGAACCUUCACCUGCAUGCCUUGUGUUCACCCAACAGACCUCACUCUCCACUCUUUGAAGGCGAGGGCCUCUCAAAUCUCAAUUCAUCAGUGCCUCUCCGGCAUGCUAGCAGUUUCAACAAAUUUCUCAUGUCUAUUUGGCUUCCUAGAUCUGCAUACAAGAUAUAUUCCAAGCCGAUAUACUUAGUGAAUUAAUUGCUCACUAUUCCACCUCCUCAGUGUAGAGUCCUCAUUGACUAGUAACCAGUCCAAGUCCUAUGGAAUUUUUCAUCCGCUAUUGGGGUAAAUCGGGAAGCGUGUACGGCGGACGGCCCAGAGCUCAUCAUCUAUUGAUUGCGCGUCCCAUUUGGAAGAAAAAUUUCUACAAAUACAUCAUAGUUGGAGAUUGAACCGCAGAUAUUUGGAUGAUAAUCUGGAUGCCCUGCCGCGACACCAUAACUCUAAGGACUUGGCAGGUGGAUGCAAAGCUCCAUGCGGAACAAAAGCCGCAACCAAAAUCUGGCCUUGGGGAAAAAGUGACAGAGAAUAGCUAGUGGAUUCAACACUAGAAGUGAUGGAAAGGAACCGAUGAAAUGAAGGACUUGUCGGCAAUCCCUCCAUUUGCUUGAUAUAACUUGCAACUGAAAACAAACAACACUUGUGGAUCCCUCUCACUUCCUGGACAACCUAAUUUUCCACUUGUUGAUGGAGAUUUGAAGGCAUUGCAAUUACCAAAGAAGGUUCGAUGAAGCCCACAAAAAGAGCUUUUAAAAAGGAGGAACAGGAUUGCAUGCUUAAAGUAAUUGGCUUUACACGAAGGCUUAACUGGAAGAUGACUGUGGAUGCUUGGCCGCCCAAAACUGAUAACCUUUUUUAGCUGUUUCUUCUCCUGCACCAGAAACUUAAUCUGUGUGCAUGUAACCGAACUCUUCUUUGUUAUUAUUAUUAAAUCAGAGAUGGUUUUCCUAUUUAAUUAUUUCUUCCUUCUA
Long non-coding RNA from Zingiber officinale, 1353 nucleotides. RefSeq lists it as uncharacterized. The record is from RefSeq and is a predicted model, not a curated record. NCBI's taxonomy places the organism in Eukaryota, Viridiplantae, Streptophyta, Magnoliopsida, Zingiberales, Zingiberaceae. The transcript is spliced from 4 exons.